AUGAAGGAUUUGACAACCAAGCGGGUCCUUCUUCGAGGCAGAUGUGAAAAUGGGCUCUAUCCCAUUCGGCCCUCACAUUCUCAUGUCCUGUUCUCAGUUAGGCUCUUUGCUGAAGAUUGGCAUGCUAGGUUCGGCCAUCCAUCCACACAAGUUGUUCAACAUGUUUUGGCGUCCAAUAAAUUAGCAUCGUCGAGUCGGGCUUUGACCCAUGUGUGUAAUGCUUGUCAACAAGGCAAAGCACAUCAGCUACCUUUUCCUAGAUCCUCGAGUGUGUCUUCGUUUCCUUUGGAACUUAUUUUUUCAGAUGUGUGGGGACCUGCCAAAACCUCUUCUGGUGGGUUCCAAUACUAUGUUUCAUUCAUUCAUGAUUAUAGUAAAUUUGUGUGGAUUUACCUUCUUAAACGAAAGUGUGAUGUGUUUGAUGUCUUUUGUGAUUUUAUCACCCAUGUUGAACGCCUUCUUUCUCAUAAAAUCUUGUGUGUUCAAUCCGACUGGGUGGGGAAUACGAAAAACUUAGCGACACAUUUUUUGUCAACUUGGCAUUGCUCAUCACGUUUCUUGUCCACACACACAUCAACAGAAUGGCUCGGCCGAAAGGAAGCACCGUCACAUUGUUGA
Molecule: ribosomal RNA, 618 nt
Filed under: Triticum aestivum (bread wheat)
Lineage: Eukaryota; Viridiplantae; Streptophyta; Magnoliopsida; Poales; Poaceae
Description: partial small subunit ribosomal RNA
Source: RNAcentral